This 497-nucleotide ribosomal RNA is filed under the name uncultured bacterium. RNAcentral describes it as "partial 16S ribosomal RNA". It matches the Rfam family "Bacterial small subunit ribosomal RNA", at positions 28 to 507 of the family's 1533-position model. The record is from RNAcentral.
GAUGAACGCUGGCGGCGUGCCUAAUACAUGCAAGUCGAGCGAACAGACGAGGAGCUUGCUCCUCUGACGUUAGCGGCGGACGGGUGAGUAACACGUGGAUAACCUACCUAUAAGACUGGGAUAACUUCGGGAAACCGGAGCUAAUACCGGAUAAUAUAUUGAACCGCAUGGUUCAAUAGUGAAAGACGGUUUUGCUGUCACUUAUAGAUGGAUCCGCGCCGCAUUAGCUAGUUGGUAAGGUAACGGCUUACCAAGGCAACGAUGCGUAGCCGACCUGAGAGGGUGAUCGGCCACACUGGAACUGAGACACGGUCCAGACUCCUACGAGAGGGAGCAGUAGGGAAUCUUCCGCAAAGGGCGAAAGCCUGACGGAGCAACGCCGCGUGAGUGAUGAAGGUCUUCGGAUCGUAAAACUCUGUUAUUAGGGAAGAACAAAUGUGUAAGUAACUAUGCACGUCUUGACGGUACCUAAUCAGAAAGCCACGGCUAACUACGUG